UUAAGUUCAGCGGGUAGUCCUACCUGAUUUGAGGUCACAUUAAUGAAAAUUUGUCCAAGUCAAUGGACUGUUAGAAGCUGAACUGUUUAACGUCAAUAGCGUAGAUAGUUAUCACACCAAUGAACGGUCCACAGAUUGUUCCGCUAAUACAUUUUAGGGGAGCUGACCUGAGAAGGCCAGCAAAAAUAACCCCCCACAUC
RNAcentral lists this unclassified non-coding RNA (200 nucleotides) under uncultured Cortinarius. RNAcentral describes it as "sequence contains ITS2". Lineage: Eukaryota; Fungi; Basidiomycota; Agaricomycetes; Agaricales; Cortinariaceae. The record is from RNAcentral.